Molecule: long non-coding RNA, 449 nt
Filed under: Vigna radiata
Lineage: Eukaryota; Viridiplantae; Streptophyta; Magnoliopsida; Fabales; Fabaceae
Description: long non-coding RNA (VRAD_LNC014569)
Source: RNAcentral
UCAAAAAUAAUGUUCAAUACUUCAAUGUAUGAAUAAAAACUAUUGGUACAAUAAUAUUUCAAAAUAUAAUCCUUGAGUCUGAAAUAGGUGUCAUGACAUGACAUUGCUUUAUAAGAUAGUAUAUACAACCAUAACAUAUAUAUCGUUGUACCUGUAAGCAUGUACAUCACCAUAACAUAACCUAUAAACAUGUAUUAAUUACAUGUAAACAUCAAUCUUCCCUAACUUCAAUAAUUUGAUUGUCAUGAUAUAUUGGUAUCUGCAAUUAGGAAAAUACUGCAACAAAAAAAAUAAUAUAAAAUUAGUCAAUUAAAUUUUUACUACAAAUUAAUUAUGACAAUAAAGAUAACUUACAUUAGUUGAAAUUGUUCCUCCUUCGUAGUCAUGCUUUCAUUAUAAUCAUAUACUCCUCCAUACAGUUUCACAAUAAUAAUUAUGUUUUAUUNNNN